GUGCCUUUUUCUGUAUAUCAGCUAAAGCUGUAACUUCAUUAUUUUCCAUAGGGAUACAUACUAUUUCCAGAACCAUCAAAUAAAAGGAACAUUAUUUCUCCACUGCCCUGCCAUGCCAUCUUUGUUUUAAAUCAAGUGCUCAGAGUGAAAGAUCAAAUUUCUGAAGCAAUGGUGACAGGAAGCCUAGAGAAGAAAGAAGUAGACCUGAGUGCUCCCUAAGAAUGUAUGGCAUGCUAAUAAACAUGCUUACAGAUCCAGUAAUUCCACUUCUGGAUAUUUAUCUGAAGAAAAUGAA
Molecule: long non-coding RNA, 295 nt
Filed under: Mustela putorius furo (domestic ferret)
Lineage: Eukaryota; Metazoa; Chordata; Mammalia; Carnivora; Mustelidae
Description: lncRNA (ENSMPUG00000025992.1)
Source: RNAcentral